UCCGGGGAAAGGCCUUCGUCAUUGCUGGAGCAUUUGUUAGCCCACUGGUUUUCCUGGUGAUGGAAAGUUCAAAACCCACAGAAGCAUCACAACUUCCCAGGCUGGGCUUUCCUCUCUGAUCUGUUGAAAAAGUCUUUUGUAAGACUGUGCUUCGAGAUGCGGAGACGGAAAACAAGGAAAGCAGGUCUGGAUCACAGACUGCUGCAUCCUACAGGAUGACUGGCUAGUGGCUGCGGCAGGCCACGGGCCCCGUUCUCUCUCUCUGCACUGCUGCCGCCAUGUUGUCCAGGCCAUGACGGACCAAGGGCCGAAGGACUUCUCCAGAGCUGUGGGGCUGCUUUUCAGGUAUCAGUACUGGCUGCACGCCUGACGCUGUUUCUCCCAGGGGGAACAAUAUGGAUUGCGUUCUGAUGGCUUCCUCCCUCCCUUUCCCCUCACUCCACAUAAAAUAUUAUCUCUUUGGCAUAAGACUGCACAAAAAUGUAAUCUGUUGGAUGGGUACUACAUUCGCUUGGUGUAAAAAGUGAAAAGAGUAUGAAGCGCUAUCCUCUGAGACUGCGCCCAGAUCCAUGUUGUAUUAGCUGGGGGGGAUGGUCAUAGCAGGGUACCACCAACAGGUUUAUGGGAUUAUAGGCCCGCCCUACACCAGUUCGACCUCAUCUUCACUAAUUAUAUCUGCAAUGAACCUAUUCCCAAAUAAGGUCACAUUCUGAGGCACUGGGGAUGGGGCUUCAAAAUGUAAAGUUUU
Molecule: long non-coding RNA, 748 nt
Organism: Mustela erminea (ermine)
Lineage: Eukaryota; Metazoa; Chordata; Mammalia; Carnivora; Mustelidae
Exons: 3
Source: RefSeq, a predicted model, not a curated record